Dictyocaulus viviparus (bovine lungworm) is the source of this 71-nucleotide non-coding RNA. Lineage: Eukaryota; Metazoa; Nematoda; Chromadorea; Rhabditida; Metastrongylidae. The record is from Rfam.
GCAUUGAUGUUUUAGUGAAGAAAUGCUCGGCUGCUACUCGGGCGAUCCAGGAUCGAUUCCCGAUUGAUGCA